Molecule: unclassified non-coding RNA, 381 nt
Filed under: uncultured Rickettsiales bacterium
Lineage: Bacteria; Pseudomonadati; Pseudomonadota; Alphaproteobacteria; Rickettsiales
Description: contains 16S-23S intergenic spacer region
Source: RNAcentral
UCCGGCUUAUCACCGGCAGUUUCCUCAGAGUGCCCACCAUUACGUGCUGGCAACAGAGGACGAGGGUUGCGCUCGUUGCGGGACUUAACCCAACAUCUCACGACACGAGCUGACGACAGCCAUGCAGCACCUGUGUCCCCCCCACCCGAAGUGAAGGAUUCCUUUUCGGGAAUCCAUAGGGGGCAUGUCAAAUCCUGGUAAGGUUCUUCGCGUUGCCUCGAAUUAAACCACAUGUUCCACCGCUUGUGCGGGUCCCCGUCAAUUUCUUUGAGUUUUAAUCUUGCGACCGUACUCCCCAGGCGGGGUGCUUAAAGCGUUAGCUGCGCCACCGAAGAGCAAGCUCCCCGACGGCUAGCACCCAUAGUUUACGGCGUGGACUAC